AGAUAUCACUCUUACAGUCCGGUUCCUGCGCGCCGGCCACGCCUACCUGACGACUGCUCGCCACAUGUUGUCAGUC
This 76-nucleotide small RNA is filed under the name Xanthomonas arboricola. RNAcentral's name for it is "sX9 sRNA". It matches the Rfam family "Xanthomonas sRNA sX9". The record is from RNAcentral. Lineage: Bacteria; Pseudomonadati; Pseudomonadota; Gammaproteobacteria; Lysobacterales; Lysobacteraceae. RNAcentral also lists the same sequence under 1 other name.